GGCCGCUUGCCGGAAUGGUAGACGGAACGCACUUAAAAUGCGUCGGGGUACCCCCCGUGCGGGUUCGAGUCCCGCAGCGGCUA
This 83-nucleotide transfer RNA is filed under the name Ketogulonicigenium robustum. It matches the Rfam family "tRNA". From Rfam's summary of the family: Transfer RNA (tRNA) molecules are approximately 80 nucleotides in length. Their secondary structure includes four short double-helical elements and three loops (D, anti-codon, and T loops). Lineage: Bacteria; Pseudomonadati; Pseudomonadota; Alphaproteobacteria; Rhodobacterales; Roseobacteraceae. The record is from Rfam by way of RNAcentral.